RNAcentral lists this ribosomal RNA (435 nucleotides) under uncultured bacterium. Its description in RNAcentral is "bacterial SSU rRNA". It matches the Rfam family "Bacterial small subunit ribosomal RNA", at positions 1044 to 1481 of the family's 1533-position model. The record is from RNAcentral.
CAUGGCUGUCGUCAGCUCGUGUCGUGAGAUGUUGGUUAAGUCCGCAACGAGCGCAACCCUUGUCAUUAAUUGCCAUCAUUUAGUUGGGCACUUUAAUGAGACUGCCGGUGACAAACCGGAGGAAGGUGGGGAUGACGUCAAGUCCUCAUGGCCCUUAUGGGUAGGGCUUCACACGUAAUACAAUGGCGCGUACAGAGGGUUGCCAACCCGCGAGGGGGAGGCUAAUCUCAGAAAGCGCGUCGUAGUCCGGAUCGGAGUCUGCAACUCGACUCCGUGAAGUCGGAAUCGCUAGUAAUCGCGGAUCAGCAUGUCGCGGUGAAUACGUUCCCGGGUCUUGUACACACCGCCCGUCACACCAUGGGAGUGGGUUUCACCAGAAGCAGGUAGUCUAACCGUAAGGAGGGCGCUUGCCACGGUGAGAUUCAUGACUGGGGU